This 500-nucleotide ribosomal RNA is filed under the name uncultured bacterium. RNAcentral's name for it is "partial 16S ribosomal RNA". It matches the Rfam family "Bacterial small subunit ribosomal RNA", at positions 30 to 523 of the family's 1533-position model. The record is from RNAcentral.
AUUGAACGCUGGCGGAAUGCUUUACACAUGCAAGUCGAACGGCAGCACGGACUUCGGUCUGGUGGCGAGUGGCGAACGGGUGAGUAAUGUAUCGGAACGUGCCCAGUCGUGGGGGAUAACGUAGUGAAAAUUACGCUAAUACCGCAUACGAUCUAUGGAUGAAAGCGGGGGAUCGCAAGACCUCGCGCGAUUGGAGCGGCCGAUAUCAGAUUAGGUAGUUGGUGGGGUAAAGGCCGACCAAGCAAACGAUCUGUAGCUGGUCUGAGAGGACGACCAGCCACACUGGAACUGAGACACGGUCCAGACUCCUACGGGAGGCAGCAGUGGGGAAUUUUGGACAAUGGGCGAAAGCCUGAUCCAGCCAUUCCGCGUGCAGGAUGAAGGCCCUCGGGUUGUAAACUGCUUUUGUAUAGAACGAAAAGGUUUCUACUAAUACUAGGAGCUCAUGACGGUACUGUAAGAAUAAGCACCGGCUAACUACGUGCCAGCAGCCGCCGUAA